Molecule: long non-coding RNA, 1074 nt
Organism: Tupaia belangeri chinensis (Chinese tree shrew)
Lineage: Eukaryota; Metazoa; Chordata; Mammalia; Scandentia; Tupaiidae
Exons: 2
Source: RefSeq, a predicted model, not a curated record
CACCUUCAUGGCCGCCCACUGCCCUUGGAUGGGGUUCAAGCUCCUUAAAACAGCCUACAGCGCCCUGGAGUCUAUCUCUGGGUAACCUAUCUGAGAGGCAGGCCACCUAGGGCAGCGUGACAGCAUGUGGCACUGUGCUGCCACCAGCACUGCCGCACACCAGGGCCCGUGUGGGGACAGGCAAGACAGCUACCAGCACCAGUACCGACGAAGGAAGAAGCACGUUUACUAAAAUAGGUCUUUAUUCUGAAUAAGAUCAAUGUCAUUUCCUGAAUUCCAGCUAGCAUCAAAUAUCAGAAAAAAAAACUUGACAAAAUGUUUUCCAAUCAAAAUUAACAGUGGAUAGAAAAAUUCUUUUAAAACUUUUAAGUUAUAACACAAAAGAAAUACCUAAACAGGCAACAUACAGUUCAAAAAGUUGCAAAUGUUGAUUUUACGUUAGAUCUCAUAAAUAAAAAUAUCCCCAAUAUAGUAAUUUUCUUUUUCACUGCUUCCUUUUAUAAGCACAUAGACAGGGAAAUCACAUCUUAAUAUUCACAACUGUUAUUUAUAUUCUUUACAAAGAUCAUAUCUCUGCAAUGCAACUGGGCAAUUCCUUAUUCAAGUUACUUUUGUUUUCCAAGUUAUCAAAAAGUACAACUGUCUGAGAUAAAAUGUGACCACAAUCACAACCAGGGAAGUGGAAGGCAUUAGCAGGUAGGCGUCAAAAUGGGAGUUUUCAUUGUUCCGCCGUGAUCUGAGGAUGAUCUUUAAAUUAAAAAGCCAUUACCUAAGUACCAAGACCUACAGGUAACAAUCUGGAUUUAGAUUUAGUCUGUAGCUACUAAUGAAUCAAGAGUUUUAGUAAAAGGACCAUUAGAUUGUAAGUAUAAAAGAAUCAGUGCACAUUUGCUAAUGUCGUUGAUAAUAAAAAUAUGUAACGCUCUCAGUUCAGCUUUAGACCAACGAAACACCCAUUUUCCCCUUCCACUCCGCAUCUCCAUGGGCCUCAAAUAUUCGAAUGCUCAGCAACACCUCAAGGGCCUACUGAACAAUGACAGCCUGAGGUGCCACCUGAGUUUUGAUCAGAUGGUU